This is a long non-coding RNA of Haliotis rubra (blacklip abalone), 1108 nucleotides long. RefSeq lists it as uncharacterized. Lineage: Eukaryota; Metazoa; Mollusca; Gastropoda; Lepetellida; Haliotidae. The record is from RefSeq and is a predicted model, not a curated record. The transcript is spliced from 4 exons.
AUCCCGCAGCCAAUCGCAUACAAAGUAGGCUAUAUUUAGACCAGGAUUGCAAGCCGUGAUUCACCUAGGAUGGGACAAUUUCUCAAUACCCUGUGUUGCCUUUUGUUACGUAGAAUAGUAGUACUUAUAGAGGUGAUCUGCAAUUAAAGUCAGUUUUCACGGAGGCUGGUCACGGACAUUGGUGUUGCUUUCAGUGUCGGGGAGAUGCUUCCACUCGUGUAUUUGUUUGGGUUCCACAAUGAACAUGCCGCUGUUACCUUCGUUUGUUUACUAGUCAUGUGAUGUGGCAGCUGCAGCCUGACAGCAUCAUUGUAUAUGCCACGGGUCUACACAUUUGUAUGUUUGUCCUUCAACAAGGGGCACCUAACAAUACAUAUAGAGAAUCGAAGCAGGACCUAUGUCAUGACGAGCGAGCACUGCCACCACUGGGCCACUCUACCGUCGCUUUAUGACAUACCAUGUCAGAUGAGGGGGGUUUUCAGCAGCAUUACAAGAUGCAUGGUACCAGUGAAGGUGGCUCUCUGCAUGAGACAGCCCGAGGACACAGGCCUGCACGUGCUUCUUUCACCAAUCAGGCAGCCUCCCCAUCAGCUGGCGCCCUCUGUCGGCCUGCUGCAGAACCCGGUGUUCUAGUGGACCUAAUGCCCUCCGUAAUGGUAAAUUACUAUAAAGCAUCUGAUCUAAGGGAUUACUGCUCUCCCUAAUGGCAAAUUACUACGAAGCCUGGACUUUAUAGCGCUGUAACAGUGUUGUAUGUCCUACUGGCUACGUCAGCCAUAGUGUGGGUCAUUCUCGGUGUUGUGCUGUGGUGGCCUUCAGUAUCAAACUGCAUACAGUGGAACCUCGUCAGGCCGGACAUCGUUAAUCCGAUAACUGUUCCGUAUAUGUGAAACUACAGAACUCUAAACAAUGGGUUAUUAAUCUGGAAAUAUUUCGCACGAGAUUUAAAAUUCAAGUGAAGCAUCAGAUAUUUAUAUCUGCAGAGAAGUACAUGUAUAUUCUGUAGUGGUUAUAUCAUGUUCAUAACAGCACGGUGCAGUGUGGCUAAUCGCUUAAUGCUAUUUUCCUGUACUAUGUGAUAUUUAUUUGUAUAUAGUUUUAUAUCGUU